Molecule: ribosomal RNA, 689 nt
Filed under: Burkholderia sp.
Lineage: Bacteria; Pseudomonadati; Pseudomonadota; Betaproteobacteria; Burkholderiales; Burkholderiaceae
Description: bacterial SSU rRNA
Rfam family: Bacterial small subunit ribosomal RNA
Source: RNAcentral
GGACAAUGGGCGAAAGCCUGAUCCAGCAAUGCCGCGUGUGUGAAGAAGGCCUUCGGGUUGUAAAGCACUUUUUGUCCGGAAAGAAAUCCUUGGCUCUAAUACAGUCGGGGGAUGACGGUACCGGAAGAAUAAGCACCGGCUAACUACGUGCCAGCAGCCGCGGUAAUACGUAGGGUGCGAGCGUUAAUCGGAAUUACUGGGCGUAAAGCGUGCGCAGGCGGUUUGCUAAGACCGAUGUGAAAUCCCCGGGCUCAACCUGGGAACUGCAUUGGUGACUGGCAGGCUAGAGUAUGGCAGAGGGGGGUAGAAUUCCACGUGUAGCAGUGAAAUGCGUAGAGAUGUGGAGGAAUACCGAUGGCGAAGGCAGCCCCCUGGGCCAAUACUGACGCUCAUGCACGAAAGCGUGGGGAGCAAACAGGAUUAGAUACCCUGGUAGUCCACGCCCUAAACGAUGUCAACUAGUUGUUGGGGAUUCAUUUCCUUAGUAACGUAGCUAACGCGUGAAGUUGACCGCCUGGGGAGUACGGUCGCAAGAUUAAAACUCAAAGGAAUUGACGGGGACCCGCACAAGCGGUGGAUGAUGUGGAUUAAUUCGAUGCAACGCGAAAAACCUUACCUACCCUUGACAUGGUCGGAAUCCUGCUGAGAGGUGGGAGUGCUCGAAAGAGAACCGAUACACAGGUGCUGCA